RNAcentral lists this ribosomal RNA (450 nucleotides) under uncultured bacterium. Its description in RNAcentral is "partial 16S ribosomal RNA". It matches the Rfam family "Bacterial small subunit ribosomal RNA", at positions 354 to 796 of the family's 1533-position model. The record is from RNAcentral.
GUGGGGAAUUUUGGACAAUGGGCGCAAGCCUGAUCCAGCAAUGCCGCGUGCAGGAAGAAGGCCUUCGGGUUGUAAACUGCUUUUGUACGGAACGAAACGGCUCUGGUUAAUACCCGGGGCUAAUGACGGUACCGUAAGAAUAAGCACCGGCUAACUACGUGCCAGCAGCCGCGGUAAUACGUAGGGUGCAAGCGUUAAUCGGAAUUACUGGGCGUAAAGCGUGCGCAGGCGGUUGUGUAAGACAGGCGUGAAAUCCCCGGGCUCAACCUGGGAAUUGCGCUUGUGACUGCACAGCUGGAGUGCGGCAGAGGGGGAUGGAAUUCCGCGUGUAGCAGUGAAAUGCGUAGAUAUGCGGAGGAACACCGAUGGCGAAGGCAAUCCCCUGGGCCUGCACUGACGCUCAUGCACGAAAGCGUGGGGAGCAAACAGGAUUAGAUACCCGUGUAGUCC